This 305-nucleotide ribosomal RNA is filed under the name uncultured bacterium. Its description in RNAcentral is "bacterial SSU rRNA". It matches the Rfam family "Bacterial small subunit ribosomal RNA", at positions 336 to 639 of the family's 1533-position model. The record is from RNAcentral.
UUCCUACGGGAGGCAGCAGUGAGGAAUAUUGGUCAAUGGGCGCAGGCCUGAACCAGCCAAGUCGCGUGAGGGAAGACUGCCCUAUGGGUUGUAAACCUCUUUUAUAAGGGAAGAAUAAUGACUACGUGUAGUCAGAUGCCCGUACCUUAUGAAUAAGCAUCGGCUAACUCCGUGCCAGCAGCCGCGGUAAUACGGAGGAUGCGAGCGUUAUCCGGAUUUAUUGGGUUUAAAGGGUGCGCAGGCGGAUUUUUAAGUCAGCGGUCAAAUCGUGGGGCUCAACCUCAUCCAGCCGUUGAAACUGGGGA